CAUUCAUUUAUCAUUGUGGAAUUUAUGAAAAUGAUCUAUAGAGACAAUAAUAUCAUACACAUCAUAAUUUCAUGCACAAUCAAUAACAUAAAAUAUAUCAUAAAUUCAUAUUCAUUAACAAUAAACUAAAUCAUAACUGUUUCUCGUUUCGCCAGCCUACUAGUAUCCAUGGGGAUCCAUAGGGGUGUCCUCGCUACACGUGAACCAUUUUCUUUAAUAAUCUCAAUUACAGGGCUGUCCUCAUACCCCGUCCGGAAUGAGUGCUAAGACAUUAAACCUCAAUACCCCGUCCGGUAUGAGGAUGAAGCGGGCCAU
Molecule: long non-coding RNA, 315 nt
Filed under: Carica papaya (papaya)
Lineage: Eukaryota; Viridiplantae; Streptophyta; Magnoliopsida; Brassicales; Caricaceae
Description: long non-coding RNA (CPAP_LNC001680)
Source: RNAcentral